RNAcentral lists this ribosomal RNA (253 nucleotides) under uncultured bacterium. RNAcentral describes it as "partial 16S ribosomal RNA". It matches the Rfam family "Bacterial small subunit ribosomal RNA", at positions 524 to 776 of the family's 1533-position model. The record is from RNAcentral.
UACGGAGGGCGCAAGCGUUGUUCGGAAUCACUGGGCGUAAAGCGCGUGUAGGCGGCUUGGCAAGUCGGGUGUGAAAUCCCGGGGCCUAACCCCGGAAUUGAAUUCGAAACUGCCUCGCUCGAGUCCCGGAGAGGAUGGUGGAAUUCCCGGUGUAGGGGUGAAAUACGUAGAUAUCGGGAGGAACACCAGCGGCGAAGGCGGCCGUCUGGACGGUGACUGACGCUGGGACGCAGAAGCGUGGGGUCCAAACAGG